This 40-nucleotide transfer RNA is filed under the name Rhinella sp. 11 MP-2021. Its description in RNAcentral is "partial tRNA-Gln". The record is from RNAcentral. Lineage: Eukaryota; Metazoa; Chordata; Amphibia; Anura; Bufonidae.
UCAUUUCUUUGUAUUAGAAAAAUAGGAAUUGAACCUACAA